Molecule: ribosomal RNA, 922 nt
Filed under: uncultured bacterium
Lineage: Bacteria
Description: bacterial SSU rRNA
Rfam family: Bacterial small subunit ribosomal RNA
Source: RNAcentral
AGAAUAAUGACGGUACCUAAGGAGCAAGCCACGGCUAACUACGUGCCAGCAGCCGCGGUAAUACGUAGGUGGCAAGCGUUGUCCGGAAUUACUGGGUGUAAAGGGAGCCUAGGCGGGAUGCCAAGUCAACUGUGAAAACUAUGGGUCUAACUCGUAGACUGCAGUUGAAACUGGUAUUCUUGAGUGUAGUAGAGGUAGGCGGAAUUCCGAGUGUAGCGGUGAAAUGCGUAGAUAUUCGGAGGAACACCGGUGGCGAAGGCGGCCAACUGGGCUAUAACUGACGCUGAGGCUCGAAAGUGUGGGGAGCAAACAGGAUUAGAUACCCUGGUAGUCCACACUGUAAACGAUGAUAAAUAGGUGGGGGGGCUGGGUCCCCUUCCGCCCCCCCGCUAACGCAAUAAAUUAUCCACCUGGGGAGUACGGCAGCAAGGUAGAAUACUCAAAGGAAUCGACGGGGACCCCCACAAGCAGUGGAUUAUGUGGUUUAAUUUGAAGCAACGCGAAGAACCUCACCUGCACUCGUCAUCCGGCUAAGGAAGUAGAGAUUCAUUAUGUUCCCUUCGCGGAAAGUCGAGACAGCAGGGGCAUGGUCGUCGUCAGUUCGUGUCGUGAGAGGUUGGGUUAAGUCCCGCAGCGAGCGCAACCCCCACCAUCCGUUGGUUCGCCCGAGCACUCUAAUGAGACUGCCACCGACAAGGUGGAGGAAGGUGGGGAGGACGUCAAAUCAUCAUGCCCCUUAUGUGUUGGGCUACACACGUAAUACAAUGGCCAUCACCAAAGAGAAGCAAUCCCGCGAGGGGGAGCAAUACCAUAAAAAAGGUCUCAGUUCGGACUGCAGUCUGCAACCCGCCUGCACGAAGUUGGAAUUGCUAGUAAUCGCGGAUCAGCAUGCCACGGUGAAUACGUUCCCGGGUCUUGUACU